CAGUCGCCGCGGGAAUACGAAGGGGGCUAGCGUUGUUCGGAAUUACUGGGCGUAAAGCGCACGUAGGCGGAUUUUUAAGUCAGGGGUGAAAUCCCGAGGCUCAACCUCGGAACUGCCUUUGAUACUGGAGAUCUUGAGUUCGGAAGAGGUUGGUGGAACAGCUAGUGUAGAGGUGAAAUUCGUAGAUAUUAGCUAGAACACCAGUGGCGAAGGCGGCCAACUGGUCCGAUACUGACGCUGAGGUGCGAAAGCGUGGGGAGCAAACAGGAUUAGAUACCCGAGUAGUCCCUGUCUCUUAUAC
Molecule: ribosomal RNA, 301 nt
Filed under: uncultured bacterium
Lineage: Bacteria
Description: partial 16S ribosomal RNA
Rfam family: Bacterial small subunit ribosomal RNA
Source: RNAcentral